GACGAACGCUGGCGGCGUGCUUAACACAUGCAAGUCGAACGGUAAGGCCCUUCGGGGUACGACGAGUGGCGAACGGGUGGAGUAACACGUGGGUGAUCUGCCCUGCACUUCGGGAUAAGCCUGGGAAACUGGGUCUAAUACCGGAUAGGACCAUGGACUUCACGGUUUGUGGUGGAAAGCUUUUGCGGUGUGGGAUGGGCCCGCGGCCUAUCAGCUUGUUGGUGGGGUAAUGGCCUACCAAGGCGACGACGGGUAGCCGGCCUGAGAGGGUGUCCGGCCACACUGGGACUGAGAUACGGCCCAGACUCCUACGGGAGGCAGCAGUGGGGAAUAUUGCACAAUGGGCGCAAGCCUGAUGCAGCGACGCCGCGUGAGGGAUGACGGCC
RNAcentral lists this ribosomal RNA (386 nucleotides) under uncultured bacterium. RNAcentral describes it as "bacterial SSU rRNA". It matches the Rfam family "Bacterial small subunit ribosomal RNA", at positions 28 to 416 of the family's 1533-position model. The record is from RNAcentral.